This is a long non-coding RNA of Labeo rohita (rohu), 817 nucleotides long. RefSeq lists it as uncharacterized. The transcript has 3 exons. The record is from RefSeq and is a predicted model, not a curated record. NCBI's taxonomy places the organism in Eukaryota, Metazoa, Chordata, Actinopteri, Cypriniformes, Cyprinidae.
GACGUCAUGCGCAAUUGAGAGAAGGAAAUCGCAGCGCAAUCUAGGCUCGUCCUCUUUCAGGCGAUGCCAUUAGAGGAGAGAGGCAUUGCAGAGAAGAGCCGAUAACCGUGCCUGUAUGGUUUUGUGUUUUAUUAUUCAGGCACUACAAUUAAAUCACCCGUGACCAAAACCAGUUGUGUGUGGAAAAUCCUUUAUUCAAAUAAAAAUCAACACAACGCAGAGGAACAACCGUUACACUGGCCUCCAUUUAUUACAAGCACGGAUUUGGCACUCAUGUACUCUGACAUGUUUUGUCAGAGCGACCCACUGCUGGAUCUGUUGAAUGCUGUGAAGUGUUGUGUGUCGUGAUCUCAGGCCUUCAGCUCUUUCUCUUUCUCUUCGGCUUUGUGUGGAUGUUCAUUGAAGCUGUGCUGCUCUUCAUCUGUGUGAAGAACCUAUCACAGAUCAGCUCCAAAAAGAGGGAGGUGCUUAGCAGUGGAUUCCUGUGUGAUUGGAUAUCUGUUUGCUCUGGUUGUGGUGUGUGUGUGUCUGUCGGUCUGGUUCCUGAAGGAUAAUGCAGCGAACAGUGAGUUGUUGUUGUUGUUGUUGUUGUUGUUUUCAAGUUAAUUUGGUUAGAAGGAAAUAAAGCAGCUUGGGGGUUUUGUGACAUUUCUGCUGUCUGAUAAAAGCUUUGACACAUGCUGUGUUAAUGUCAUGCACAAAAUUUGAAUACUGUACCAGUCAGCACUUGAAAUAGUAUUUCUGACAAAUUCGUUCAGUUAUUUUCUUUUUAUCCAAAUGGCUGCUGGAAUAAAAUGGAUUAAAGGCUUUAUCUUGA